This 4653-nucleotide long non-coding RNA is filed under the name Sus scrofa (pig). RNAcentral describes it as "lncRNA (ENSSSCG00000060351.1)". Lineage: Eukaryota; Metazoa; Chordata; Mammalia; Artiodactyla; Suidae. The record is from RNAcentral.
UUAUAUAAUAUUCUCAAAGUGCUGUGAGACAUCCAUUACCACGGCUUGUUUAUAAAAAGGGAAAUGGAGAGGUUACACAAUUUAUCCAAGGCCACAUGCUAGGAAGUGAUGGAGCAGGGAUCCUUAUCAGUUCGAUUCCUAAGUGUAUCCUUUUGCCACGAAACCACUGGAGAUAGAGAGGUAGGUAGGUAGGUAGAGAGAUAGAGAUACAGAUGUAAAAGUGGAUAUACAUGUAGAUAUAGAUAAAAUUUGCUUUUCUGUACAUUAAAACUUGCUUUGCACACUUAUUAGAACGUUCAAACCCUGACAACAACAAAUGCUGGUGAGGGUGUGGAGAAGAAGAACUCUCAUUCAUUGCUGGUGGGAAUGCAAAAGGAUACCUUCACUUUGGCAGAAAGUUUGGUGAUUUCUUACAAAACUAAACAUACCCUUCCCCCAUGAUACAGCAGGUGUGUUCCUUAGUAUUUACCCAAAGGAGCUGAAAACUUAUAUCCACCCAAAAACCUGCACAUAGGAGUUACUGUUGUGGCUCAGUGGAAACAAAUCUGACUAGUAUUCAUGAGGACACAGGUUCGAUCCUUGGCCUGUCUCGGAAGGUUAAGGAUCUGGCUUUGCUGUGGCUGUGGUGUAGGCCAGUGGCUACAGCUCCAAUUCAACCCCUAGCCUGGGAGCCUCCAUAUGCCAUGGGUGCGGCCCUAGAAAGACAAAAACAAACAAACAAACAAACACAGAAAAACCCUGCACAUAAAUGUUUAUAGCAGUUUUAUUCUUAAUUGCCCAAACUUGGAAGCAACCACGAUGUCCUUCAGUGGGUGAAUGGAUAAAUACACUGUGGUCCAUCCAGACAAUGGACUAUUAUUCAGAGCUAAUAGGAAAUGAACUUUCAAGCAAUGAAAAGACAUGGAAACUUAAAUGCACAUAACUAAGGGAAAGAAGCCCAUUUGAAGAGGCUACUCCAGCUUCUGGUACCAAUUCCAAUGUGGGGGGCGGGGGGGGCAGUGUUCUCCACACCAAAGAACAAUUCUCCAGACACCAGUGGGCAUCCUAUAAUUCAACUCAGUCUUCCCAGAGAGGGUACCAAAUUCCACAGCUUAAGGACUCCAUCCUACAAGACAAUUCCCCCUUGCUGCUUCAAAUGCCCAUUCCAACUCCAGCUUGUCACCUGUUCUUCUGACCAACCAGCUAUAGAUUGAAGAUUCCAACUGCCCCCUCCUUGGGUUCCAUUAAUUUGCUAGAGUGGCUGGCUCACAGAACCCAAAGAAACAGUUUACUUACUAGAUUACCAGUUUACUAUGAAAUAACUCAGGAACAGCCAGACGGAAGAGAUGCACAGAGUAGCCUAUGGGGGAAGAGGCAAUGGGCUUCCAUUCCCCGUCUAGCCACCUUCUCACCACCUCCAUGUGUUCACCAGCCCAGAAGCUCUCAGUACUUAAGAGAUUUUUUUUUUAUGUACGUUCCAUUUUAUAGGCGUGAAUGAGUAAAGCACUGGCCACGGUGAUUGAACUCCAUCUCCAGCCCCUUUUCCCUCCCUGGAGUUCAAGAUGGCACUAAAGACUCCUAUUCUCUAAUCACUUGGUUGAUUUUCCUGGCCCUCAGUCUUAGGUGCAGUCCAAGGGUCACCUCAUUCAUACAACAAGUUCACACCUUCAUUGCUCUUAUCGCUUAGCAAAUUCCAAAGAGAUUUGUGACAGAAACUGGGUGAAGACCAAAUAUACUUAUUAUAAAUCACAACAUCACAGCUACAUACUCUCAUACUCUAUCAUUCCAACAAUCUGACAUUCUGGAAAAGGCAAAACUAUCGAAACAGUAAAAAGACAUUUGGUUGCCAGGAGUUGGGAGGGGGGAGGGGCAGACAGGGGAAGCACAAAGGAUUUUUAGGGCAGUGAAAAUACUCUUUAUGAUACCAUAAUGCUACAUGCCCCCAGAGAAGGCCCAUGGAAGCUCUGCAACUUUGGGAAACUUACAUAGUCUCUGAACUUCAUUGCCUGCUAGUCAAAUGGAGACGAUGCCUUAUCAGUCUACAGACAGGGAGACUAGGUAGAUGAGUUUUCUAAAACUCAAAACAAAACAAAAAGCAUUUGUUUCAGUAAAACCUAUCAUACAUAAGUCACUAGAGGUUCCAUUCUGCUACAGAUGCAUCUAUAAAGUAAGAUCCCUACGCCAUCUAAGUGGUGAAUAUUUGAACAACGGGCCAUUUCUUCUCCUAGACAAAGCACACAUGUCCUUAUUCUUUGAAUGUUUCUCUUGUUCAUUGACUGUUUCCACAUCCAGAUGACGAGACUGUCCUUUAUCACCAAAGUAGGCUGAAAACGAUUGGUUCACUGACUAGUAUCUGUGAGGAUGUGGAUUCAAUCCCUGGCCUCACUCAGUAGGUUAAGGAUCCAGCAUUGCUGUAAGCUGUGGUGUAGGUCGCAGACACAGCUCAAAUCUGGUGUUGCUGUGGCUGUGGUGUAGGCCAGCAGCUACAGUUCUGAUUUGACUCCUCGCCUGGGAACUUCCAUAUGCCUUGAUAUGACCCUACAAAGUAAAAAAAAAAAAGAUUGGUUCAGACAUUUCAGGACCUGCAUGCCUCCGAAAUCCCAAGUAAGUCAUGAGAGGAACAAAGCCCCAGCAGAUGGCAAACUGGCUGCCCUAGAAGAGCUGCUGCAGCCUGGGCUUGCCCUCUGCUCCAUUUCAUCAUGGCAGCCUCCAGGGUGGUGCAGUGGGGCAAUAGAUGGCUUUUCUGUCCCUGUUGUAGGACCUGUGCUAUGAAAAGGCCCAACUCUGAUCGUGUGAUACAGCCUCCCCUCCUGUCUGGCCUCUUCUCUUUCACUCCCCUUCCUGCAGUCCGUGGACUCCAACCAAAACAGAGCCAUGUUCUCAACCUACCCUGCAGACAUAGCCAGCAUUCCCAUUCCAGGUCUUUCAUCCACAUGCACUUGUCAACUCUGAGUGUGAGAGCUCCAGGUUUCUUCAGGGCUGAGGCUACGCCUUGCGUUUCUCUAUUGCCCCACAUCUACCAUGCAGGCUGGUAUGUAAGACAAGCUCAACAAUUAUUUUUUUAAUAAAAUGAAAUAGACCAAAAGAGAAGGCUGAUGACUGGAGAAGAUGACAAUAUCACCAGUUGGUGCCAAAAUGUCAGUGCUGCUUUUUUAUCUGGCAACACCAAACCCUUCCAUACACGGUCCACGCACAAGUUGCCUACAGCAAUAUCCAGGCAGGAGAUGAUGGUGAUUUGGACGGUGGUGGAAACCAAGGAGACAGUGGAAAGUGGCCUGAGGAAGAAUCAUCAGGAUUUGGUGACAAAUUAGAAAUGGAGAUGAGAAAAGAGGAGGAAUCUAAGAUAACCUCAAGAAUUUUGACUUAAUUGGGCAGAUGUCCCUUUCUCCUUUGAAAAAUUGAUUUGUCUAAGGGUCAUCACAUCCUCCUUGCCAAUUAUUGAUUUAGGAAAAGACAUGUGACCCUCAUCAUUGCCAAUGGGAUAUGGCAAAACAUCUGUUGGGAGCAUCUUCAUAAAAGAACCACAGGAAGAGAGUCACUUUCUUUCCCUGUGUAUGAGUUUUGUCUGGAUGUGCUACCUGGAACAUCUGUACCACCUUGAUCUCAGCCUGAGGAUGAAACCAACCUAGAAGUUGGCUGAGCUGAGAGGUGGAAAGAACUGACAUCUGGGUAACAUCAGUAAGCCACUGGGUCUACCUAACCUAGCUCUGAACUUCCUCAUUAUGAGAUAUUAUAUUUGUGUAUUAUUUAACAGAGCUAAAGGCAGGAUUUCUGUUACUUAAAACCUAAAUCAUCCUGGUCCAGGACCCUCUUUGGUACGUUUUACAGUUUUAUAGGUUUCUUUUUGGAAUGAAGUACCAAAGGAUUUAGAAAUGUUUCCAAAAUGUCCAAAACAAUCUAUCCUACUUUAUUACACUCUUGGCUGGAGGAAAAAGAUUUGAUAGGAGGAAAAGGGCUGGAAAGGAAAACAAUUCCAUGGUUACAACAGGCAACAAAUUAUUUGUACAUUGAUUUAUGACAUGAAAGGAAACAAAUCAGUUGAGGAAUUGUGAGUGCAAAGCUACGGUGCCCUAGAGCGGUGUUUUGCCAACUGUGGUUUGUGACCAGCUAGUAAGUCAUAUGAACAAUUUAGUGAGUCUAGACCCGGGUUUAAAAAGUGGGGUAUAACAAAGAGAAUAGGACAGAACAGAAAAGAAUAGGAGAGGAGUUCCUACUGUGGCUCAGCAGGUUAAGGACCAAACAUCAUCUCUGUGAGGGUAUGGGUUCGAUCCCUGGCCUCACUCAGUAGGUUAAGGAUCCCACAUUGCCACAAGUUGCAACAGGAAAUUCCAUAUGCUGCAGAUGUGGCCAUUAAAAAGAAAGAAAGAAAAGAAAAAAAGAAAAAGAAAGAAAAGAAUAGAAUGGAAAAUACUAGAGCACCAUAUAAGGAUUAUGAACUUGGAGAACUUUUGUUUCAGUUUUAUACUUCUACAUGCGUCCACUGAGUCACCAUGUAAACUGCAUGCCUGAUGUGGGUCAUGGCCCAAAACAUCUGAGGGAUACUGUCUAAGAACAAAGUGGGGCACUGACCAUACUUCUUUACACACAAUUCUCUAAACCACCAGCAAUAACUGGUUGAACAUCUUUCCUAAUGAAAAAUAGUCUCAUCAUGUGACUGUAGUAACAUAUUCCUUC